Molecule: non-coding RNA, 103 nt
Organism: Brassica napus (rape)
Lineage: Eukaryota; Viridiplantae; Streptophyta; Magnoliopsida; Brassicales; Brassicaceae
Source: Rfam
GGAAUAUAAGAACCCGUCUCAUAGCUUUUAACUGAAAAAACUAAGAACCGAGCCGGUUCUUAAUUUUUUCAGUUAAAAGUUAUGAGAUGGGUUCUUAUAUUCC